AUGACGCAGAUGGAGGAGCUCGUGCAGGAGUGCGACAUGGAGGUGAUGAAGAUGGCCAUGCUCAAGCACGAGCAGACCUUCAGGCAGCAGGUGCAUGAUCUGCACCGGCUGUACCGAGUCCAGAAGCAGCUCAUGGGCGACCAGAGCGGGCGCCUGUCGGUGCCACCCUGCCGUCAGGCGCAGCGGCGCAGGCAGCACCCCCGUCGGCCGGAGCUGAGCCUGCAGCUUCCUGUCGACGACGAUGUGUACACCGUAUUCAGCGCCGGCACAGGCCGCCUAACGACGCCACCGUCCAGGGAAAGCGAGGACGGGCUAGAGCUGACGCUGGCCGUCGGCGGCGGCGGCGGGAACGGCGGCAGCAGCCGGAGCCAGAGGAGGAGGCGGGAGAGCGCGACGGACUGCUCCGGCAGAAGCCCACAGACGCCGUCUUCGUCGACGGACUCCGACGAGGCGCUCCGCCCGGUGCUGGACCACCACCGGAGGGCGACGGCGUGUGAUCUCCGGGGAGGGGUGAUGGUGUCGAAGCAGCCGCAAUGGCUGGUGCGCUGUCUCAGCCUUAGGAUGGCUUGA
RNAcentral lists this ribosomal RNA (570 nucleotides) under Triticum aestivum (bread wheat). RNAcentral's name for it is "partial small subunit ribosomal RNA". Lineage: Eukaryota; Viridiplantae; Streptophyta; Magnoliopsida; Poales; Poaceae. The record is from RNAcentral.